GAUGAACGCUGGCGGCGUGCCUAAUACAUGCAAGUCGAGCGAACAGACGAGGAGCUUGCUCCUUUGACGUUAGCGGCGGACGGGUGAGUAACACGUGGGUAACCUACCUAUAAGACUGGGUUAACUUCGGGAAACCGGAGCUAAUACCGGAUAAUAUUUCGAACCGCAUGGUUCGAUAGUGAAAGAUGGCUUUGCUAUCACUUAUAGAUGGACCUGCGCCGUAUUAGCUAGUUGGUAAGGUAACGGCUUACCAAGGCAACGAUACGUAGCCGACCUGAGAGGGUGAUCGGCCACACUGGAACUGAGACACGGUCCAGACUCCUACGGGAGGCAGCAGUAGGGAAUCUUCCGCAAUGGGCGAAAGCCUGACGGAGCAACGCCGCGUGAGUGAUGAAGGUCUUCGGAUCGUAAAACUCUGUUAUUAGGGAAGAACAAACGUGUAAGUAACUGUGCACGUCUUGACGGUACCUAAUCAGAAAGCCACGGCUAACUACGUG
Molecule: ribosomal RNA, 497 nt
Filed under: uncultured bacterium
Lineage: Bacteria
Description: partial 16S ribosomal RNA
Rfam family: Bacterial small subunit ribosomal RNA
Source: RNAcentral